AAUUGCAGAAUCCCGUGAACCAUCGAGUCUUUGAACGCAAGUUGCGCCCAAAGCCAUUAGGCCGAGGGCACGUCUGCCUGGGUGUCACGC
Molecule: ribosomal RNA, 90 nt
Filed under: Laser trilobum
Lineage: Eukaryota; Viridiplantae; Streptophyta; Magnoliopsida; Apiales; Apiaceae
Description: partial 5.8S ribosomal RNA
Rfam family: 5.8S ribosomal RNA
About the family: 5.8S ribosomal RNA (5.8S rRNA) is a component of the large subunit of the eukaryotic ribosome.
Source: RNAcentral